UUCGUGAACUGAGGUACCACUGUUUUUCUCCUUCAGAGUCUUCAAGUUAUCAUCCAUGCUCGCUGCAUCCUUCAAUGCCGGCUUCAGAGUACAUUUACUUCAUAAAGCAUCCCUUGGUCACUCUGAGCAUUGCUUUUGCUGACCACCCCAUUCCUUCAGGUCACUACGUCCAAUUCUCACUGUUGAUCUGUCUACUUUCCACACCAUGAUGAUGCUCAGUUAGUCCAUAAAUGCCUGGAAGCAGAUGUGUAGGCAGCUUGGCUAGUGGUAGCUCUGUAGCUGUGCUGAAUCUCUCAGCCCCUCCAAGGCUGUCUCCUUCUUUGUAGAGAGGGAUUGUAGCUGGUCUCUCAAGGACCUCUUAGCUGUGUUAUGCUCUUCUUUUCAUAUCUUUCCCCAGGAUGAUGACUGUCUCUUGGACAGGAUGGGAAUGGAGCCUGAACUACUAACUGCGGGAUGAACCUGGACACCACAGCUGAAAGCUGCAGACAGUCAAGCUCUACAAGGCACCUGGGAUGGAGCCUCCUUCUUGGGCAGCAUCUUCACUGUUUCCUGGAGGCUGUGUGCAAAGCACAUUGUUUGGAGGGUAUCUUGCCGCCUUUUGAGGUAAGAUUGGCAAAGGGAUUGUUAUUGUGAACUGUGGUGGGGAAAUGCUAAACAGUGGGGGAUCUGAUUUUCUAAGACCAUUUAUAACUCUGACCAAGCAUAUAACUCUGACUUUGCAACCUGACUUCCUCGGCUUCUUGCAAUCACCUUUACAUGCCUGACCCUGGUCUCACUGUCUGCCGCCUCUUGUGAAUGCAAUCAAGGAAACUGUGACCCUUCCAAUCCACAGAUAGGAGAUAUGGAAGUGAACAGAGCCUGUCUCCAUUCCUUGUUGUGCACACCACUGUUCUCUGUCCCAUCUCAUUUCACACUGGACUUCUCCAGCCUGAGGAGCCC
RNAcentral lists this long non-coding RNA (939 nucleotides) under Fukomys damarensis (Damara mole-rat). Its description in RNAcentral is "lncRNA (ENSFDAG00000027703.1)". Lineage: Eukaryota; Metazoa; Chordata; Mammalia; Rodentia; Bathyergidae. The record is from RNAcentral.